This is a long non-coding RNA of Sorghum bicolor (sorghum), 2338 nucleotides long. RefSeq lists it as uncharacterized. NCBI's taxonomy places the organism in Eukaryota, Viridiplantae, Streptophyta, Magnoliopsida, Poales, Poaceae. The transcript is spliced from 4 exons. The record is from RefSeq and is a predicted model, not a curated record.
GCGUGUCCUCCGCGGCGAGCGGCCGGUAUCCGCGCGCGUCCGGGCGGGACCGCGCGUCUCGCGUCCUCCGUGGCGAGCGCGCGUCCGCGGCGAGCGGCCGGUCUCCCUCACCAACGACAACGAGAACGACGGCCUGCUGCCGACCAACGUGUACUGUAUGGGGUCCUGCUCCGCCUCUCGGCCAAGGCCGGAGCUCUGCCGCCUCCACCUCGUCUGCCGCCGGUCAUGGCAGUCGCUCACCAACAACACCGAGGCCCACCAUCUUGACCUGAGCUGCUGUACUAGCAUCGUCAGUCGGUUUCGCAAACAACAGAUUGGUAGAAAUUAGCAUUCUUUUCGGAACUUCAACUGGUAUAUAUACUUACUAGAGUGGCACGGGGUCAUCGUUUAUGUAUGCAGCUUCCCUGAUUUCAGUCCGUAGUAAUCUCCUCUAGAAAAGAGUAGCGAAUCUUCUUGUUCCAGGAUGAAUCAGGAUGGUGUUUCAGAGGAGAGGAGUGGAGGCCCAGCAUACUUCGCGGACCACUGACUGAGCAGAUUAGAGGUUUGAUCCUGGAUUCUUUCUCAGUUAUCAUGCUCCAGCCACGUGUUUCUUUAUUUGGUUUGACAUAGAUUUAGCAACAAUAUGGCAUUUUUCAGAUCUAUGAUGACAGGCAUAGAAAUAGACUAAGGAGACUAUUUUGAUCUUGUCACUGUAUUUGCGGUCUUAUGUAUUUAUGAGCUUGCUGAAGUGGUCGUAAUCAAUCACACCUAAUGAGACACUCACCUAAGUGCAUUUGAUUCCUAGUAAUUAUUAUUGGUAGAAGACACAUUUAAACAUUUGAAAUAUUUCCUAAUCAGUGUGGUGUGUCAUUAUGUGCAAUAGCCAAUAGGUAUUGCGUCUUGUGCUGGUUAGAUCAAGUUUCUGGUGAACAAACAUAAAUUAUUUUUCUUAACCACAGUUUCCUACAACUGAACUAAAUCUUCUUAGUUUCAGAAAUAUAUCAGUAUUUUUCAUCUCAAAAGAGCUAAAAUGUUUGUUGGUAAGACCUAAUCAGCUACGCAAUGCAAUAAUCAAAUGUUAUAUCAUGAAAAAUUUAUAUUAUAAUUUGCUUUCACGUGAACUCUCAGCUUAUAAAUAAUGUUUGUCUGGAUGUAAUCUCAGACGGGAAGCUAUAUUGCAAUAUACAUUAUUCUUCAUGCGAUGUUUUUCUCUUAAAUAUCAACACAUUUUUAUUUCUAAACUCAUACUGUAGUGGUCGCUGAUGAAUCCUAAACUCAUCCUAAUCUGCUUCACUUCAAUGGCGGUGUGCCACAAUUAGAUUACAAGCCUAUAAUAUGAUUUCAUAUAAAUGAGAAGUUUAUUGUACUAGCGUCUUGAAUUGCUUUUGACAUUAAAGAUGUUUCUAGAAUCACAAAUGUCGCAAUCAUUAAAAUUAGUGUUCCCUUUUCUCUUUCAUGUAUUUCCCUUCUUUUUUUCAUUUUUAUUAUCUCUAGGGUGUGGUUGUUUUAGUCCAUGAUGCAAACUCCAUGAACUAUGAUGAUGCCAUCUUUUCUAAAUUUAUUGGACACACUUUUAUCAGCUGUUGCAGCAUGUUCACUUGGGCUUCCUUUGACAAUGACCACGGUAAAAUCUCUUAUAGUUUAUAAAGAUAGGGUACAAUCACGAUUGAGCUUUGGAGUAGAGGCAGAAACACCAAAUUCUUAGUUAAUUCGGACAGUGAGCUCAUCGAAACAGGGAGAAGCUCCUCAGUCCUCUCUCCGUGGUGGUGCCCGGCCCCUCAGUCCUCUUGCAUCAUUUGGGAUGGACCCGCCCGCCCCCUCAGAUGAUGCUCACGCCGGAGAAGGUCCUGCUUCGUCAACUAAAAGAAUCCGGUUGGAGCUAGUGGAUAAAAUGUCUGACAAUCCAAAAGUGCUUGUAUUCGAGAGCACACAACAGCGGUAUGAGGUCCCUCUGCGACAGCGCACACCCAAAAUAGGUGUUCUGUAGGUGAUGGUUUGCACCCACAAACAUAGCUAGUGGCUUGUCAUAAAUAUUUGUCUUGUGUGUGGUGUCAAAUGUCAUGACAUCUCCAAAAUCAAUAUAUUCAGCCUGCAUGCUAGCAUGACUCCAGAAUAAGCUAUGAAUUGCCCCUUCUUUAUCGAUCUUGACGUACCAACGAAAUUGUGGAUUCUGAGCCUUGCAGUCUUCAAAGAAUUCUAGAAGCUUCGCAAUGUCAUUGGCAUGUUCUGCCCUCACAUUAGCUGCCUUCCUGCAAAAUUUGUUACUGUUACAUGUUUGUACUUAACAGAUCCUAUUUAUUUAAUGGAAUAAGAGUUGCUCCACACUGACCUGUUCUCUAGGUCACGCUUUGUUAUCGGA